RNAcentral lists this ribosomal RNA (1550 nucleotides) under Enterobacter roggenkampii. RNAcentral's name for it is "bacterial SSU rRNA". It matches the Rfam family "Bacterial small subunit ribosomal RNA". Lineage: Bacteria; Pseudomonadati; Pseudomonadota; Gammaproteobacteria; Enterobacterales; Enterobacteriaceae. The record is from RNAcentral.
AAAUUGAAGAGUUUGAUCAUGGCUCAGAUUGAACGCUGGCGGCAGGCCUAACACAUGCAAGUCGAGCGGUAACACAGGGAGCUUGCUCCCGGGUGACGAGCGGCGGACGGGUGAGUAAUGUCUGGGAAACUGCCUGAUGGAGGGGGAUAACUACUGGAAACGGUAGCUAAUACCGCAUAACGUCGCAAGACCAAAGAGGGGGACCUUCGGGCCUCUUGCCAUCAGAUGUGCCCAGAUGGGAUUAGCUAGUAGGUGGGGUAACGGCUCACCUAGGCGACGAUCCCUAGCUGGUCUGAGAGGAUGACCAGCCACACUGGAACUGAGACACGGUCCAGACUCCUACGGGAGGCAGCAGUGGGGAAUAUUGCACAAUGGGCGCAAGCCUGAUGCAGCCAUGCCGCGUGUAUGAAGAAGGCCUUCGGGUUGUAAAGUACUUUCAGCGGGGAGGAAGGUGUUGAGGUUAAUAACCUCAGCAAUUGACGUUACCCGCAGAAGAAGCACCGGCUAACUCCGUGCCAGCAGCCGCGGUAAUACGGAGGGUGCAAGCGUUAAUCGGAAUUACUGGGCGUAAAGCGCACGCAGGCGGUCUGUCAAGUCGGAUGUGAAAUCCCCGGGCUCAACCUGGGAACUGCAUUCGAAACUGGCAGGCUAGAGUCUUGUAGAGGGGGGUAGAAUUCCAGGUGUAGCGGUGAAAUGCGUAGAGAUCUGGAGGAAUACCGGUGGCGAAGGCGGCCCCCUGGACAAAGACUGACGCUCAGGUGCGAAAGCGUGGGGAGCAAACAGGAUUAGAUACCCUGGUAGUCCACGCCGUAAACGAUGUCGACUUGGAGGUUGUGCCCUUGAGGCGUGGCUUCCGGAGCUAACGCGUUAAGUCGACCGCCUGGGGAGUACGGCCGCAAGGUUAAAACUCAAAUGAAUUGACGGGGGCCCGCACAAGCGGUGGAGCAUGUGGUUUAAUUCGAUGCAACGCGAAGAACCUUACCUACUCUUGACAUCCAGAGAACUUUCCAGAGAUGGAUUGGUGCCUUCGGGAACUCUGAGACAGGUGCUGCAUGGCUGUCGUCAGCUCGUGUUGUGAAAUGUUGGGUUAAGUCCCGCAACGAGCGCAACCCUUAUCCUUUGUUGCCAGCGGUUAGGCCGGGAACUCAAAGGAGACUGCCAGUGAUAAACUGGAGGAAGGUGGGGAUGACGUCAAGUCAUCAUGGCCCUUACGAGUAGGGCUACACACGUGCUACAAUGGCGCAUACAAAGAGAAGCGACCUCGCGAGAGCAAGCGGACCUCAUAAAGUGCGUCGUAGUCCGGAUUGGAGUCUGCAACUCGACUCCAUGAAGUCGGAAUCGCUAGUAAUCGUAGAUCAGAAUGCUACGGUGAAUACGUUCCCGGGCCUUGUACACACCGCCCGUCACACCAUGGGAGUGGGUUGCAAAAGAAGUAGGUAGCUUAACCUUCGGGAGGGCGCUUACCACUUUGUGAUUCAUGACUGGGGUGAAGUCGUAACAAGGUAACCGUAGGGGAACCUGCGGUUGGAUCACCUCCUUACCUUAAAGAA